GAUGAACGCUGGCGGCGUGCCUAAUACAUGCAAGUCGAGCGAACGGACGAGCAUCUUGCUUCUCUGAUGUUAGCGGCGGACGGGUGAUUAACACGUGGAUAACCUACCUUUAAGACUGGGAUAACUUCGGGAAACCGGAGCUAAUACCGGAUCAUAUUUUGAACCGCAUGGUUCAAAAGUGAAAGACGGUCUUGCUGUCACGUAUAGAUGUAUCCUCGCUGCAUUAGCUAGUUGGUAAGGUAACGGCUUACCAAGGCAACGAUGCAUAGCCGACCUGAGAGGGCGAUCGGCCACACUGGAACUGAGACACGGUCCAGACUCCUACGGGAGGCAGCAGUAGGGAAUCUUCCGCAAUGGGCGAAAGCCUGACGGAGCAACGCCGCGUGAGUGAUGAAGGUCUUCGGAUCGUAAAACGCUGUUAUUAGGGAAGAACAUAUGUGUAAGUAACUGUGCACAGCUUGACGGUACCUAAUCAGAAAGCAACGGCUAACUACGUG
RNAcentral lists this ribosomal RNA (497 nucleotides) under uncultured bacterium. Its description in RNAcentral is "partial 16S ribosomal RNA". It matches the Rfam family "Bacterial small subunit ribosomal RNA", at positions 28 to 507 of the family's 1533-position model. The record is from RNAcentral.